AAUAGAUACCCAGGUAGUCCUAGCCAUCAACGAUGGAUACUGGAUAUUCCUGCACUCAUGUGGGAGUGUCGAAGCCAACGCGUUAAGUAUCCCGCCUGGGGAGUACGGUCGCAAGAUUGAAACUCAAAGGAAUUGACGGGGGCCCGCACAAGCGGUGGAGCAUGUGGUUUAAUUCGACGCAACGCGAAGAACCUUACCUGGGCUUGAACUGUCGGUAUAGGGACCCGAAAGGGCGACGAUCCCGGGCAACCGGGAAGCCGAUAGAGGUGCUGCAUGGCUGUCGUCAGCUCGUGUCGUGAGAUGUUGGGUUAAGUCCCGCAACGAGCGCAACCCUUGUCUUUAGUUGCCAGCGAGUCAUGUCGGGCACUCUAAGGAGACUGCCUCGGAUAACGAGGAGGAAGGUGGGGAUGACGUCAAGUCAGCAUGGCCUUUAUGUCCAGGGCUACACACGUGCUACAGUGGGCGGCACAGAAGGACGCGAGACCGCGAGGUCAAGCCAACCCUUAAACCGGUUCUCAGUUCGGAUUGC
Molecule: ribosomal RNA, 529 nt
Filed under: uncultured bacterium
Lineage: Bacteria
Description: bacterial SSU rRNA
Rfam family: Bacterial small subunit ribosomal RNA
Source: RNAcentral